This is a long non-coding RNA of Marmota monax (woodchuck), 1703 nucleotides long. RefSeq lists it as uncharacterized. Lineage: Eukaryota; Metazoa; Chordata; Mammalia; Rodentia; Sciuridae. The record is from RefSeq and is a predicted model, not a curated record. The transcript is spliced from 3 exons.
CUCCUCAGGAAAAGCUGCUCUCCAAACGGGAGGGCACUCUCUUCCCCCCAGCGGGGGCUCCGUGUCGUCCAGAAGGGCCCAUGGGAGGCACAGGGGCCAAGCAACCACCUUGACUUCAACUUCAACCGCUUCACCCCGAACCCAGCCAGCCUGAUCCCAGCCGUAGGAGUUUCUAUUUUUGAAACUGAAAAUAGUCCUCACUCUUCGCUUUGUCAGUAUUUUGACCUUCAUUUCCCUCCUCCCCACCCCCAUGCCCCUGGUGGGCAGAGGGAGGGGGGCAGUUGGAUUUUUUUUUAAGGCCAAACAAAAACAAAACCUUGUCCAGGCCGAGGCCAGCCGCUCACCAUGUUCCGGGCGGACUCUGCUACGUGCCAGCAGUGACCGUCAGCAGGAUCUGCAGGAAACACCUUGCAGAACCCACUAGGAGAAGCCAGAGGAGUGUGAAGCGGAUACGCUGCUGAGGCCAGGCACAGGAAACGGCGUUGGAACUCCAGGGACCAGAGGGCUAACUCACAAAGGUCGUGAGGAUGGAGAUAUGAGCAAAAGGACUCCGCCCGGUGCUCGGGGCACAGCAGCCACUCAGGAAACUGCUUCUUUCGGCACCAACAAGAACAGGAAGCCGGGGAGCACUUUGAACCACCAGGCGUGAUCAUGAAAGGAGGCUCCAAUCAAAGAGGGCAUCGGCCUCGUGUUCACGCCGCUCAGGCCUCUGGCAUGGGACUGAAGUCGGCCGUGGUGCAGGGCGGAUGUUGAGAAGUCCCAAGCUGAAUCGAACAGGUCAUUGUUUGUCCCUGUCCCCUCUUCUUCAACAGGACACUCCGAGGGGUAGAAUUGGUGCCAGGGUCAGCUGGGAACUUGUGCCAAAUUCACGUCCACUGCAGGGAGCAGUUGGUGGCCUCUUCCAGGCCUCGAGGCUGACCCUGGGGCCGUGGGGAGGGAAGGACCAAUCUGCCCCCAGAGAGCCCCAUUUCUGUCUUCCCUCCCCCAUGAGGGGGACCCCUGAUGAGGGAGAAAGUGCGUGAAUUUCCUCCACGUGACUGUCUCUGUAGCCACUCCCCCUGCCCGUCUGGGAAGGCCAAGUGUAGGGGUGCCGAGGAGGAGCCCAACACGUGGAAGGAACGCAAGCUACAAGGGUGGGGUGCUGUGUCCCCCAGGUCAGCUGCCCCGUGAGCAGGGGCUGGGAGCCUUAGUUCUAAAUGCCUGGACCUCUAACUCCUGGGGCACGUCUCCUCCUGUCCCUGGGCCUGCGUCCCCCAUUGGGGAGUGGAGAGUCUGUGAGUCCGGGUGCCCUGCCUGUGUCUAGAAAGCUCACCUGGAGGAGCAGAAGAGACUUCUUGAGAUUCCGGCCCCUCCUCCCUGGGAGUCUGCCUGCAGCAGGUGGCUGGAUCCCUGACCUCCUUCGGAGACUCCCGCUCAGGCAGCAACCACCAACAGAUGGCAGAGUGCCCCAGGGCCGGUAUCUCGGCAUGAUCUGCUGCUUUCCAUCAACACGGAAGAAUGUGGCCCCGAGAGGCAGUGUGCCCCUAAGUGGCUCUAAGAACACUUCUGCGUGAGUUUCACCCACUCCAAGCCUGGAGCACAGCUCUGCCAGUCUCCAGUCUGGGGAAGUACGGCAGGACACGUCACCUGUCUGAACCCCCAUUUCCCCAUGCCUCAAAGGGCACUCCCUCAUGCAUUUAAUAAACAUUAGAGUUUCAAAGUAA